UUAGUCGGUCCAGACGGUGCAGAACCUGUAUCCAAUACCUGGCCGGAUGGGAACAGGAAGAGUCAGACUAGCUGAAUUCAGACAGCGUUGCACAUCUGCCCUCGUGUGCACCGAGGGCUUGUCUGUGCAUAAGACUGUUACAUGGGCUUCCCAGUCCAUAGGAAGAUACACUCUGCUCCCUCACACACUGCUGCCCUGAGUGGUCCUGACCUAAGAUCCAGAGGCACUUAUAGAAGCUUCGGCGAAACCAGACAAACCUUCCUUUCAAUCCAUUUAUCAAAACUGCCCGCAGCUCUGCUUCUGAGCAGGUACAACAAGAAUAAAAUAUUGAGCAGAACUGGCGACCGCGGGACUGGAGGAGGCCAAUAAAUAAGAAGUUACUGAG
Non-coding RNA from Myodes glareolus (Bank vole), 385 nucleotides. The record is from RefSeq and is a predicted model, not a curated record. Lineage: Eukaryota; Metazoa; Chordata; Mammalia; Rodentia; Cricetidae.